This is a long non-coding RNA of Phasianus colchicus (ring-necked pheasant), 1766 nucleotides long. The record is from Ensembl. NCBI's taxonomy places the organism in Eukaryota, Metazoa, Chordata, Aves, Galliformes, Phasianidae.
CCGCGGGGCCGCCCGCCUUCCGCCGCCCGCCCAGGCCGGGCCCCGCCGCGCCGCCGCCAUGGUUCCCUUCCCGCCUUCCGCCGCCCUCGGCCGGGCCCGGCUCGGCCUGCCGGCUCGGCGCUCACCUGCGGCCGCCGCCUCCUCCUCCUCCGCCGCGGGGGGAGGCCGAGCAGAAGCGGCGGUGGUGCCGGCGGACUCGGCGCUCCGCUCCGUGCGGGAAGAACGGGCGGCGCUUCCUCCCCUGCCCCGGGGAGCGGGAGGCAUGCGCCGCAGGGCCCGGCGCGGAGGCGGAGGGCGGACGGAACGCCGCGGUCAGCGGCCGCGGGAGGAGCGGGGCGGGGAGGAGCCGGGCCGGGGCGGCGUGCGGAGGGAGCGCGGAGCCGAGCGGGCCGCGCGGCUUCCAGCGGACGGAGCGCGUCGGCGAAACGUCGGCUGCCGUGCCGCGGCCGGGCUUCGGGACGGGAAAGUAGAGCGGGGCUCGGAGAGCCGAGCGCGUCCUUCCCGCGCCGAGGUUCUCACGCUCGGACCCCCAGCGGCACAGCGGGGCGCGGAGCUGCUCGGCGUCGCUCGCGGCUCUCGGGCGCGGCGCGUCCUGCUGCCGUCGGAUGACAGACGGACGCCCGGCGCUGCCUGCCUUCCCCUGGCCGGCUCAGCCCUGCUGCGAGCGGACGCCAUCCGUACUGCCGUACUGCUGGAGCUUCACCUCUUCCAGGAGUUUUUCUGCUCGCUUUGCACUCACUUAUUGUUGAGGAAUCGGUUCCCGUCUGCUUUCGCCCCAGAGGUGCUUGCCCGAGGCAGAAGGAAUCGUGCUUUUUCCUGGACCCCACCAUCACAUCCUAAUUCCUUUCCAGACCCGGGCUGCUUGUUUAGGGAAGUGGGGCAGGACCGUGCCAGGCACAGUUACAGACUCAGGCUGAUUCCUCUCCUGCUCUUACAACAGAUUAAACAGCUGACAAGGCCUCUGUUUUAUUUUAUUUUAUUUUUUCCCUGGGAUAUGUGGUGUGCUUUUAUAUCCCGAAAUGGCUCGCUUGAACAAGGCUGCUGCAAACAGCACAGCCAGCAUCUGUGUGCAGAGAAAACAAUGAGCUGGCUUUUCCUUAGCUGCAGAGUUGCAGCCUGGAGAAAGAAAAAGGACGAGAUUAAAACCGAAACAGUAAGAAUGAAAGGACUCACCUCGCAGCUCUUCCUGUUGUCAGGAGACCUGUGGAUUCUGGGCCAAUUACUGCUUUCGCAUGGAGCUGCGUUAACGUCGCUGCGUUGCUGUCGGUGGGGUGUGAGUCAGUGUGCUGCCAGCUGGGGGCACGGGAACAGCGACAGCCUCAGGUCCUGCAAACCUUUUGGUGGCAGUUUUGCGUUCCCCAAACAUGUCUUCAAGUUUGGGGACAAAAUGAAUCCAUUAAAGUGCAAUCUGGUUGUGUCCGUGAGGUUUUUUUGGUGGAAGCAUUGUGGGGGGGGGGAUGUGGAGGGAGUGUGGACUGAGCCUGGAGCUCAGCAGGUGUUUGGGUUCCACGGUCACAAGCUUCAGGAGCUCCAAAGCUUUUGUCAAAGAAGUCGUGCAAGCAUUGCCUUUAAAUAAAUGGCAUGGGCUGCAUCUCUUUGGUUGGGAAUGGGGCUCAGGGGGCUCCAGGACUUGCUUCCUUCUUGCAUGGGUUUGCUCGUGCUGUGAGCUGCAGCAGCGUGUGGCUGGAUCAUGUAGUAACAUGGUAAAUCAGAGAGUGUAGUUGUUAUUUAAUAAAUGCCAAGGAGACUCAUGAGGCCUUGAAGUU